Long non-coding RNA from Fulmarus glacialis (Northern fulmar), 382 nucleotides. RefSeq lists it as uncharacterized. NCBI's taxonomy places the organism in Eukaryota, Metazoa, Chordata, Aves, Procellariiformes, Procellariidae. The record is from RefSeq and is a predicted model, not a curated record. The transcript has 3 exons. The annotation marks the transcript as partial.
UUCCUGGUGUGACGGUGCGCACGAGAGGCAGCCGUGGGGAUUAAGCUGGCUGGUAACAAGCAUUUGUAUUUACCAGUCUGGUUAACUUCAGAUCAGCCUUCUAAACAUUUCCAUGGAAACAAGGGAAGUUUUGGUUCACUAUAUUCAAGAGUUUUAUGAAGUGACACUGCUAAAUUCCCAGAAAAGCUAUGAGCAAAAAAUAGAAGAAGCAAAUCAAGUUGCAGAGAAAUGGGAGAAGACAACAUCUGCUACAGACCAUGAAAAUCUGCAGAAAAACCAAGAGUCUGCAGCUUCCAAUGGAUCAGAGGGAUCUGGACAAUGUGGUGAACACAAUAAGGAGAACCAGACUUUUGAAAAUUAUGUAGUAGACAUGAAGACAAAG